Molecule: transfer RNA, 72 nt
Filed under: Bdellovibrio sp.
Lineage: Bacteria; Pseudomonadati; Bdellovibrionota; Bdellovibrionia; Bdellovibrionales; Pseudobdellovibrionaceae
Also listed under: 1 other name
Description: tRNA-Arg
Rfam family: tRNA
About the family: Transfer RNA (tRNA) molecules are approximately 80 nucleotides in length. Their secondary structure includes four short double-helical elements and three loops (D, anti-codon, and T loops). Further hydrogen bonds mediate the characteristic L-shaped molecular structure. tRNAs have two regions of fundamental functional importance: the anti-codon, which is responsible for specific mRNA codon recognition, and the 3' end, to which the tRNAs corresponding amino acid is attached (by aminoacyl-tRNA synthetases). tRNAs cope with the degeneracy of the genetic code in two manners: having more than one tRNA (with a specific anti-codon) for a particular amino acid; and 'wobble' base-pairing, i.e. permitting non-standard base-pairing at the 3rd anti-codon position.
Source: RNAcentral
GGAGCCGUAGUUAAAUGGAUAUAACGGCUGUUUCCUAAACAGCUAUUCCCAGUUCGAUUCUGGGCGGUUCCA